UACGUAGGUGGCAAGCGUUGUCCGGAUUUACUGGGCGUAAAGAGCGCGCAGGCGGUCGUUCAAGUCGCGUGUGAAAGCCCCCGGCUCAACUGGGGAGGGUCACGCGAUACUGAUCGACUGGAAGGCAGGAGAGGGUAGUGGAAUUCCCGGUGUAGUGGUGAAAUGCGUAGAUAUCGAGAGGAACACCUGCGGCGAAGGCGGGUUGCUGGGCUGACACUGACGCUGAUGCGCGAAAGCCAGGGGAGCGAACGGG
This 253-nucleotide ribosomal RNA is filed under the name uncultured bacterium. RNAcentral describes it as "partial 16S ribosomal RNA". It matches the Rfam family "Bacterial small subunit ribosomal RNA", at positions 524 to 776 of the family's 1533-position model. The record is from RNAcentral.